RNAcentral lists this long non-coding RNA (412 nucleotides) under Brassica napus (rape). Its description in RNAcentral is "long non-coding RNA (BNAP_LNC013799)". The record is from RNAcentral. Lineage: Eukaryota; Viridiplantae; Streptophyta; Magnoliopsida; Brassicales; Brassicaceae.
UGCAUAACUUUUCAACUUUCAACAUUCAACUUUUAGAAAAGAUAUAACUUUUCUACAAUUUUUAGAAAUACACAAGGGAAAUUGCCUAAAAUACUAUUUUCAUGAUACCAUUUUUUAUGUUUACACCAACCAUUUUUACCCUCAUCUUUAGUGAAGGGUAAAAGCCAUUUAUAACAUUUUGAUUACCUUUGACAAAAAAAAAAUCAUAUGGUUAACUAAUCUAAACUUAAAACAUCAAUUCUAAACCCUAAAUCAUUAACUUUAAACUCUAAACCAUGAAAUAUCAACUCUAAACCCCGAAACAUCAACUCUAAACCCUAAACCCUAAAACUUCAAAUCUAAACCCUAAAACAUCAACUCUAAACUCUAAACGUAAACCCUAAACCCUAAAUCUAAACUUAAAACAUCAACU